GAUGAACGCUGGCGGCGUGCCUAAUACAUGCAAGUCGAGCGAACAGAUAAGGAGCUUGCUCCUUUGACGUUAGCGGCGGACGGGUGAGUAACACGUGGAUAACCUACCUAUAAGACUGGGAUAACUUCGGGAAACCGGAGCUAAUACCGGAUAACAUAUUGAACCGCAUGGUUCAAUAGUGAAAGGCGGCUUUGCUGUCACUUAUAGAUGGAUCCGCGCCGUAUUAGCUAGUUGGUAAGGUAACGGCUUACCAAGGCAACGAUACGUAGCCGACCUGAGAGGGUGAUCGGCCACACUGGAACUGAGACACGGUCCAGACUCCUACGGGAGGCAGCAGUAGGGAAUCUUCCGCAACGGGCGAAAGCCUGACGGAGCAACGCCGCGUGAGUGAUGAAGGUCUUCGGAUCGUAAAACUCUGUUAUCAGGGAAGAACAAAUGUGUAAGUAACUGUGCACAUCUUGACGGUACCUGAUCAGAAAGCCACGGCUAACUACGUG
RNAcentral lists this ribosomal RNA (497 nucleotides) under uncultured bacterium. Its description in RNAcentral is "partial 16S ribosomal RNA". It matches the Rfam family "Bacterial small subunit ribosomal RNA", at positions 28 to 507 of the family's 1533-position model. The record is from RNAcentral.